Molecule: ribosomal RNA, 253 nt
Filed under: uncultured bacterium
Lineage: Bacteria
Description: partial 16S ribosomal RNA
Rfam family: Bacterial small subunit ribosomal RNA
Source: RNAcentral
UACGAAGGGGGCUAGCGUUGCUCGGAAUCACUGGGCGUAAAGCGCACGUAGGCGGCUUGUUAAGUCAGGGGUGAAAUCCUGGAGCUCAACUCCAGAACUGCCUUUGAUACUGGCGAGCUUGAGUUCGGGAGAGGUGAGUGGAACUGCGAGUGUAGAGGUGAAAUUCGUAGAUAUUCGCAAGAACACCAGUGGCGAAGGCGGCUCACUGGCCCAUAACUGACGCUGAGGCACGAAAGCGUGGGGAGCAAACAGG